This is a long non-coding RNA of Anthonomus grandis grandis, 585 nucleotides long. RefSeq lists it as uncharacterized. NCBI's taxonomy places the organism in Eukaryota, Metazoa, Arthropoda, Insecta, Coleoptera, Curculionidae. The transcript is spliced from 2 exons. The record is from RefSeq and is a predicted model, not a curated record.
CCGUAUCAAUUAAAAGUCAUAACGUUUCACGUACGUAAAUAACGCGCAUAACGGUUAAUUAAAAAAAGCUUAAACUUAACUGAGCAGAUAAGGAAAUUAUUAAGAACCAAAUUAGCAAGAAUUUUUUUUAUCAGCAAGGAUGAGUACACCCUAUUAAAUUAUUAUUUUUAUCGGAAAAAACAACUACUAAUGAAUAGCUAUUAAAAGUACAGUUUAUUCAUCAUAUUAUUCGUAAUCAAAGAGUUACAGCAAUGGGAAGUAUAGUAAGCGGUAUACUGGGUAUGGUGGGCACGUUAAUCAAAACCCUUUUGACGUUGCCCUUUGAGAUUCUACGGUUACCAAUUAAAUUGAUCGAAGGAGUUUUGAAAAUCGUUAUGAUCCUGAUAGGUGCAUCUCUAGGUUUGCCCGUCGGUUUGGUCUCAGUACUGCUAAAAAUUCCAACACAGGUUAUCAAUUUAAUUUUAAACUUUUUGGGAGGUUUGGUGCGUACUGGUGAGGAAAUUGCGUUAGUGCCAGGGAAAAUUAUUACUGGAUAAAUAUAUUUAUUGUUUGGUUGGUUGGUAAUAAAGAAAAAUUUUUUGAAAA